AGACCUUACUCAAAGGAAACAAAUGGGACAAAUAGGUACUCCUCAGCAAUUAGCUAAGACAAGAGGUUUCCCACCCAACUUUCCCAAAGCUGCCUCUCUCCGCCCCUUCUUGCACCAGGAGCAGGCUGAGGACACCCCACUCCUACCCUGGGCGGAGCCGGCUCUAGGAAGACCGGAUUCCUCUCCCUUCCCCUCCCCGGAUUCUUUCAGCCCUCACCUCCCAGGAAUGGGGAGGGGGCAUCCUACCCCAUAUCUGAGGUGCGACUGCGGGACGUAGAGCGGACUGGGCCUUUCCCGCUGGCCCGUGGCCUCAAUCAGGCACAAGUGGGCAAGAAGAACCAGACAGUCCAAGAAACCCAAUCAUGUUGAGACAUGGAGAGCAGAAAAGGAAGCGAGCCCAGAAGAAGUGGGUGAGAGGGCGUUGGACCUGAAUGUGGAGAGAGAGAGACUGACAAAAAGAGAGAGAGAAAGAAAGAGAGAAAGAGAGACAGAGAAAGAAGAAACUGUGCUGUAGAAAACAACAAUGGAAAGUCCAUGGAGGACAAAGAGUCCGGCAAGGGACAGAGAGGACAUCAUAUCAAUGUAUUUCUCCUGAACUGUAAGAGAUGCAACUGAACGUGUGAGAGGUCAUGUCAGUAGGCUGACAGGCAGCAAG
Long non-coding RNA from Pan troglodytes (chimpanzee), 655 nucleotides. RefSeq lists it as uncharacterized. The record is from RefSeq and is a predicted model, not a curated record. The transcript is spliced from 3 exons. NCBI's taxonomy places the organism in Eukaryota, Metazoa, Chordata, Mammalia, Primates, Hominidae.